AAAACUUUCAACAACGGAUCUCUUGGCUCUGGCAUCGAUGAAGAACGCAGCGAAAUGCGAUAAGUAAUGUGAAUUGCAGAAUUCAGUGAAUCAUCGAAUCUUUGAACGCACAUUGCGCCCUCUGGUACUCCGGGGGGCAUGCCUGUUCGAGCGUCAUUG
RNAcentral lists this ribosomal RNA (159 nucleotides) under Buellia muriformis. RNAcentral's name for it is "5.8S ribosomal RNA". It matches the Rfam family "5.8S ribosomal RNA". From Rfam's summary of the family: 5.8S ribosomal RNA (5.8S rRNA) is a component of the large subunit of the eukaryotic ribosome. It is transcribed by RNA polymerase I as part of the 45S precursor that also contains 18S and 28S rRNA. The record is from RNAcentral. Lineage: Eukaryota; Fungi; Ascomycota; Lecanoromycetes; Caliciales; Caliciaceae.